RNAcentral lists this ribosomal RNA (905 nucleotides) under uncultured Bacteroidota bacterium. RNAcentral describes it as "bacterial SSU rRNA". It matches the Rfam family "Bacterial small subunit ribosomal RNA", at positions 1 to 898 of the family's 1533-position model. Lineage: Bacteria; Pseudomonadati; Bacteroidota. The record is from RNAcentral.
GGAUCCAGACUUUGAUCAUGGCUCAGGAUGAACGCUAGCUACAGGCUUAACACAUGCAAGUCGAGGGGCAUCAGUUUGGUUUGCUUGCAAACCAAAGCUGGCGACCGGCGCACGGGUGAGUAACACGUAUCCAACCUGCCUCAUACUCGGGGAUAGCCUUUCGAAAGAAAGAUUAAUAUCCGAUAGCAUAUAUUUCCCGCAUGGGUUUUAUAUUAAAGAAAUUCGGUAUGAGAUGGGGAUGCGUUCCAUUAGUUUGUUGGCGGGGUAACGGCCCACCAAGACUACGAUGGAUAGGGGUUCUGAGAGGAAGGUCCCCCACAUUGGAACUGAGACACGGUCCAAACUCCUACGGGAGGCAGCAGUGAGGAAUAUUGGUCAAUGGACGCGAGUCUGAACCAGCCAAGUAGCGUGAAGGAUGACUGCCCUAUGGGUUGUAAACUUCUUUUAUAUGGGAAUAAAGUGGUCCACGUGUGGAUUUUUGUAUGUACCAUAUGAAUAAGGAUCGGCUAACUCCGUGCCAGCAGCCGCGGUAAUACGGAGGAUCCGAGCGUUAUCCGGAUUUAUUGGGUUUAAAGGGAGCGUAGGCGGAUUGUUAAGUCAGUUGUGAAAGUUUGCGGCUCAACCGUAAAAUUGCAGUUGAUACUGGCAGUCUUGAGUGCAGUAGAGGUGGGCGGAAUUCGUGGUGUAGCGGUGAAAUGCUUAGAUAUCACGAAGAACUCCGAUUGCGAAGGCAGCUCACUGGAGUGUAACUGACGCUGAUGCUCGAAAGUGUGGGUAUCAAACAGGAUUAGAUACCCUGGUAGUCCACACAGUAAACGAUGAAUACUCGCUGUUUGCGAUAUACAGUAAGCGGCCAAGCGAAAGCAUAAAGUAUUCCACCUGGGGAGUACGCCGGCAACGGUGCC